GGUUCGAUCAUGGCUCAGAUUGAACGCUGGCGGGAUGCUUUACACAUGCAAGUCGAACGGCAGCACGAAUUUUGUCUGGUGGCGAGGGCGAAUGUGCGAGUAAUGUACCGGAACGUGCCUAGUAAAGUGGGGAUAACUACGCGGAAAGCGUAGCUAAUACCGCAUACGCCCUUCGGGGAAAGCGGGGGGACCUUCUGGGCCCCGCACCAUUGAGCAGCCAACGAUUAUUCGAUUAGCUAGUUGGUGGGGUAACGGCUCACCAAGGCGACGAUCCGUAGCUGGUUUGAGAGGACGACCAGCCACACUGGGACUGAGACACGGCCCAGACUCCUACGGAGGCAGGGAAUUUUGGAUACCGGGGAAACCCUGAUCCAGCCAUCCCGCGUGUGCGAUGAAGCGCCUGGCUAAAAGCAAUUUUUGGCAGGAAAGAAACGGCACGGGAUAAUACCCUGUGCAACUGACGGUACCUGCAGAAUAAGCACCGACUAACUACGUGCCAGCAGCCGCGGUAAUACGUAGGGUGCAAGCGUUAAUCGGAAUUACUGGCGAAGCGUGCAUGGGCGGUUCGGAAAGAAAGAUGUGAACCAGAGCUAACUGGAACUGCAUUUUUAACUACCGAGCUAGAGUGUGUCAGAGGGAGUGGAAUUCCGCGUAGCAGUGAAAUGCGUAGAUAUGUGAGGAACACCGAUGGCGAAGGCAGCCCUGAUAACACUGACGCUCAUGCACGAAAGCGUGGGGAGCAAACAGGAUUAGAUACCCUGGUAGUCCACGCCUCAAAACGAUGUCAAUCAGGUUGUUGGGGCCUUCGGGCCUUGGUAGCGCAGCUAACGCGUGAAGUUGACCGCCUGGGGAGUACGGUCGCAAGAUUAAAACUCAAAGGAAUUGACGGGGACUCGCACAAGCGGUGGAUGAUGUGGAUUAAUUCGAUGCAACGCGAAAACCUUACCUACCCUUGACAUGUCUGGAAUCCCGAAGAGAUUUGGGAGUGCUCGCAAGAGAAAUCGGAACACAGGUGCUGCAUGGCUGUCGUCAGCUCGUGUCGUGAGAUGUUGGGUUAAGUCCCGCAACGAGCGCAACCUUGUCAUUGGUUGCUACGAAAGGGCACUCUAAUGAGACUGCCGCCGGUGACAAACCGGAGGAAGGUGGGGAUGACGUCAAGUCUUGGGCGGCCCUUAUGGGUAGGGCUUCACACGUCAUACAAUGGUCGGGACAGAGGGUCGCCAACCCGGGCGAGGGGAGCCAAUCCCAGAAACCCGAUCGUAGUCCGGAUCGCAGUCUGCAACUCGACUGCGUGAAGUCGGAAUCGCUAGUAAUCGCGGAUCAGCAUGUCGCGGUGAAUACGUUCCUGGUCUUGUACACACCGCCCGUCACACCAUGGGAGUGGGUUUUACCAGAAGUAGUUAGCCCAACGUAUGAGGGCGAUUACCGUAGGAUUCAUGACUGGGGUGAAGUCGCACAAGGUAG
RNAcentral lists this ribosomal RNA (1464 nucleotides) under uncultured Bordetella sp. RNAcentral's name for it is "partial 16S-23S ribosomal RNA intergenic spacer". It matches the Rfam family "Bacterial small subunit ribosomal RNA". The record is from RNAcentral. Lineage: Bacteria; Pseudomonadati; Pseudomonadota; Betaproteobacteria; Burkholderiales; Alcaligenaceae.